RNAcentral lists this ribosomal RNA (511 nucleotides) under uncultured bacterium. RNAcentral describes it as "bacterial SSU rRNA". It matches the Rfam family "Bacterial small subunit ribosomal RNA", at positions 8 to 518 of the family's 1533-position model. The record is from RNAcentral.
AGAGUUUGAUUAUGGCUCAGGAUGAACGCUGGCGGCGUGCUUAACACAUGCAAGUCGAACGGAGUUAUAAGCGGAAGUCUCGGAUGGAAGCUUAUGAACUUAGUGGCGGACGGGUGAGUAACGCGUGGGUAACCUGCCUUACACAGGGGGAUAACAGCCGGAAACGGCUGCUAAUACCGCAUAAGCGCACAGUGCUGCAUGGCACCGUGUGAAAAGAUUUUUAUCGGUGUAAGAUGGACCCGCGUCUGAUUAGCUAGUUGUGGGGUAACGGCCUACCAAGGCAACGAUCAGUAGCCGGCUUGAGAGAGUGAACGGCCACAUUGGGACUGAGACACGGCCCAAACUCCUACGGGAGGCAGCAGUGGGGAAUAUUGCACAAUGGGGGAAACCCUGAUGCAAGCGACGCCGCGUGAGUGAAGAAGUAUUUCGGUAUGUAAAGCUCUAUCAGCAGGGACGAAAAAAUGACGGUACCUGACUAAGAAGCCCCGGCUAACUACGUGCCAGCCGCAGC